AAAGCAUUGCUCUGGCUGGUCAAAAGGAACCAAGGCCGUCUCUCCUGGAGGUUUGGUCCCCUUCAACCAGCUAUAGCAGUGCUGACCU
Non-coding RNA from Ophiophagus hannah (king cobra), 88 nucleotides. The record is from Rfam. NCBI's taxonomy places the organism in Eukaryota, Metazoa, Chordata, Lepidosauria, Squamata, Elapidae.